RNAcentral lists this transfer RNA (74 nucleotides) under Marmota monax (woodchuck). RNAcentral describes it as "tRNA.Ala". The stretch from base 9 to 69 matches the Rfam family "tRNA", at positions 6 to 65 of the family's 71-position model. Rfam says of the family: Transfer RNA (tRNA) molecules are approximately 80 nucleotides in length. Their secondary structure includes four short double-helical elements and three loops (D, anti-codon, and T loops). Further hydrogen bonds mediate the characteristic L-shaped molecular structure. tRNAs have two regions of fundamental functional importance: the anti-codon, which is responsible for specific mRNA codon recognition, and the 3' end, to which the tRNAs corresponding amino acid is attached (by aminoacyl-tRNA synthetases). tRNAs cope with the degeneracy of the genetic code in two manners: having more than one tRNA (with a specific anti-codon) for a particular amino acid; and 'wobble' base-pairing, i.e. permitting non-standard base-pairing at the 3rd anti-codon position. Lineage: Eukaryota; Metazoa; Chordata; Mammalia; Rodentia; Sciuridae. The record is from RNAcentral.
GCUGGGGUUGUGGCUCAGUGGUAGAGCACUUGCCUGGCAUGUGUGAGGUACUGGGUUUGAUUCUCAGCACGGCA